Molecule: ribosomal RNA, 253 nt
Filed under: uncultured bacterium
Lineage: Bacteria
Description: partial 16S ribosomal RNA
Rfam family: Bacterial small subunit ribosomal RNA
Source: RNAcentral
GACGGAGGAUGCAAGCGUUAUCCGGAAUGAUUGGGCGUAAAGCGUCCGCAGGUGGCCGUUCAAGUCUGCUGUCAAAGACCGGGGCUUAACUUCGGAAAGGCAGUGGAAACUGAACAGCUAGAGUAUGGUAGGGGCAGAGGGAAUUCCUGGUGUAGCGGUGAAAUGCGUAGAGAUCAGGAAGAACAUCGGUGUCGAAGGCGCUCUGCUGGACCAUAACUGACACUCAGGGACGAAAGCUAGGGGAGCGAAUGGG